Molecule: long non-coding RNA, 9018 nt
Organism: Columba livia (rock pigeon)
Lineage: Eukaryota; Metazoa; Chordata; Aves; Columbiformes; Columbidae
Exons: 6
Source: RefSeq, a predicted model, not a curated record
GGCCUGCGGGAACAACACCGACAGUGGUCACGGCGGGGCCGCGGUCGCGCUCCUCCGCCGCAGCUGCACCAUGUUUGGGCCGGCGGGACGCUGACCCUGCGGGCCCUGCGCUACCCCCGGCCUCCCGCCGGGCCCUGCGCGCAGCUCCCCCGCCGACAGCCCCGCAGGGGCAUCUCCCGCCCGCCCCCCGCAGCCCUGGGCAGAGCGGGGCAAACGCGCCGGAAUAACGAUGCAGCCGGGCAACCGCAACCCCAGCGGCAGCUGUGCGGCGGCAGGCAGCCUCCCCCUCCCAGAGCCGUGCAGAGAAAUGUCACGAGAGGCGGGCGACGAGAACUGCCCGGUGACAGCUCUGCAGUUAAACGCUGCCUCCUCUUUGCAGUUCAUGCGGUACAACAGCGGUGAAGCAGCCAUGCAACGAGACAGAGCGGAGCUGCCUCUCUGACAGUGCUGCAGACAAGGAACAGGGCAUUUACCUGGCAGCUUCGGUUCCCUCCGUUCCCAGGGGAUGAGUGAAGAUGAUUCCAGGGAGCUCAGGCAAGUGAAGGGGAGAUACAGCUCCUACCCAGGUGGUCUCUAGCCAGCCCUGCAUCCUGUGGACAAGUAAAGAUGUGAAAGGGAAAGGAAAUGAGGAGAGGCAAGGAGAUGCUGCUGCGAAUGAGUUUGGGCAUCGGCAUACCCUCAAGAGAUGUUCCAUUGUAUAAUAAACUGAACCAGAUACUGGAAGGACAUAGUGUCCAGAAGACUUCAGCUGGUGACAUUCUUCAUUGUUAGAAGAAAAUAUCACAGGAAAGGAGGGUACAGAGAAGUGGUAACAUGAGAAGCAAAAGACACAAGUUUGAACAAUGGAAAUUCUAGUUAAGUGUAAGAAAAAAAAUUAACAUAACAAUAGUUAAACACUGGAAGAGGUUGCCCAGAGAAGCUGAGGACUCUCUAUUCUCGGAGCUAUUCAAAACUCAUGGCCCUGAACAAGCGGGCCUUGUUGGACCUGCUCUGAGCAGGACAAGCUGAGCUCUCGCUGGGCGCCGCUGUGCUCCAGGUGUGACAGUGUGGAGGUCUCCAGUAGUGACUUGACUGAACUGAGCUACUUACCUCUGAACUGAGAAUAUCAAUGACUGAAUAAUUUCCCAUUAUGCUGAAUUUACAUUAGAAAAUACUGAUUUGGGCAUAAGCCCCUACUGCGAAAGCUAGAGUAUGCCUAAAGCUAUAAGCUAAAGAUCAAACCCCUUUUGUUUGUGGGGAUAAAGACAACUGGUGAAGCUCCUUAUAUGAACUUGGAAGAGAUUAAGCCUUCACAGCCGAACAGAUCAGAUAGUGGGCAGGGAACAUAAAGCUGUCAGUCAUAAUGCAGAAAAUGAAGUUACCACAAAUGAACUUUUUCUUUGGAAAGCAGCAGGAAGAUCAAAUUAAUAUAUUGCAGUAAGGGGAUACUUUAUAUUCCAUCAUUAUCUACUAGAACUUGUUAAAAAAUAACUAGUCGUGAAAAAAACCCCACGAAUUAAGGGAACCAGUUAAUCUGCAGAGAGUUUUUUAAGGAGUUAAUUACAAAACAAUUUGAAUAAUUUUGAACUUAAACAACUGCUUGAACUCUGAAGAAAUGCUAUUUAGUCUGGAAAAACCUACCAUUUUACCCAUAAUUAAAAUGGGUGAGUGCCAUGACAUGAAGAACUCCAGGCCAUGUAGUCUGCCCUGGGGAGAAAUUGUAGAGCACGUGCUGUAUCCUGUAUCAUAGUGAUUAAGGAAGUUUCUUUUCCCUGGGUUUCCCUAACGAUGACUAAUGCCAGUCAACAAGAGAAGGGCAGGCACUGCUGUGGAAUGGAUGUGGCUUCUUCCUAACCCUGCUACCGUCAGACCAUGGUGUAUUUCCAGCUGGCAGGAGCUGAAGGCUUUCCAGCUCUGCAUGGUGCCCUGAUGUUUCUGUUGCUUCUUAUAACUGACUGGUUUUGCUGAGAAGCCAAAGAGAACACCAGGUGUUACACCAGGAACCCAGAAAUCCACAUCUGAAGCAAACUGUAUCAAAUACAUUUGGACAAAAUUACAAAUUUGGUUGAUAAACUCUGAAAUGAUUACUUCAUGCAAUAGACUUUUGGAAGGCAUUUAUAAUAUAUUAACUAUGUACAUGUUAACUUUUUCAUAAAGAAAAUCACAGCAUUUGCAUAACUUUCAUGCUGAUUCAUAAGCUGCUAGACACAACAAUAAAACCAGCAUAGAUAUUUGAUGAAAAAAGCUUAUAGACUUAGGUUAUUCAAUAAAGCUUCUGCUGGAGCAGAAUUAAAUUAGUAUAUAAUGACAUUUUCACACUAGAAGGAAAAGUCAAGUGAAAAAAAAAAGUGAAGUCAAACAAGACAGGUAAUAUCUGCAAAAAAUCUGAUGCUGCCCUUUGGACAUUCAGCUUCAUAUCUGUGGGCUGUAGCUGUUCAUCGGGAUCCUAAAGUCACAAAAGGAAAAUUAGUCUUUGCAAUAUUAGAUCAUAAUGUAUUUUCUUAUCUGAAUGUAAGAUAAAUACACACUUUUGAUCAGUAAAAGAAAUGAAACUGGAAAAAAUUACUAAUGCAAUGCCAUAAUGGCAACAAUCUUUAACAAUUAUCCUAAUUAAACCUGCAAAAACUUGACUAUUAUCUGAAGAAAGAACCAAGGUGCCUAUGUAAACCUUGCUCUGCAUCACCCCACGGAAAGCAGGAGCAACUCUACCGAAGUCUAAAACACACGGGGCUGUUGGCAGCGGGCGUUACGUCAGGCUGCGGAGUUUCUCUAGAAGCCGCGGGUUCGAUCAGCGCGGGCCCUGCAGCGCGGCGGGGAUGUGAGCUCACGCUUGGCCAGGGAGAGGGAGGAACGAGCCUCCCCAGGCGCUGCUGAUGCAGAUGGUGUCGGCGAGGUGGAAGAAUUGCUGAGGUACCUGCCUCGUUCUGUCCGGGCUAAUGGAGCUGCUCCAGGGUUAGAGCAUCAUACACUGCAUACAGCUACCACAAAAUACGCAGGCAGCUCUUCACAAGUUCACAGUUUUUCUGUGGUGGUAGCAAUGAUUCCACAAACAAAUGAGGUUCACGUACAGGGCACUGCCACAACAGCCACAUACGCUUAUUGCACACCGUCAUUUUUAGGACUUUUCAGGAUGUUCUGUAGUACCAAGGGGUAAUAUUACAGUUACCAUUUUAAGCGCAAAUAAGACUGUUACCAUUCACCUGGUAUGUUUGUGGUACUACUUAUUACCUAGUUAGCGGUACCUACUACACUGUGCUUAAAAACUUGGUAGUAUUAUACUGGAUGAAGAAAUCUGACUGAAAACUCUGGCAAACAAGUUGUUUUUCAAAAUGAGUGGUGGCUUAAGUAAAAUUAAUGGCCAAAUUUAAAGUUAAAAAACCACAUCUGACAAACAUGCAAGUCUUAAAACAGGCAACUCUAGUCCAGCCUUGAGACUCUGGAAAUCUGGUCAGCUCAAAUGAGCUGCAUAACCCAUCAGUGUGACAUCAGUGACGAGCUGCAUCACUCGCUGGUGUGACAUCAGUGACGAGCUACAUCACUCGCCAAUGUGACAUCAGUAACGAGCUGCAUCACCUGCCGGUGUGACAUCAGUGACGAGCUGCAUCCCCUGCCGGUGUGACAUCAGUGACGAGCUGCAUCCCCUGCCGGUGUGACAUCAGUGACGAGCUGCAUCCCCUGCCGGUGUGACAACAGUGACGAGCUGCAUCCCCUGCCGGUGUGACAACAGUGACGAGCUGCAUCCCCUGCUGGUGUGACAACAGUGACGAGCUGCAUCCCCUGCCGGUGUGACAUCAGUAGCGAGCUGCAUCACUCGCUGGUGUGGCAGCAGCCCAGCCUGUGCCAACCUUGCCCGGCCCUGCCCACGCCAGCACCUGCCCCUUCCAGCAGGGGCUGUGGGCUGGCGGCACCCACGGAAAGCAGCGGCCUGCUUCAAGGGUGGAAACGCACAUCCAGAGGUCACAGGGCUGAUAAUUACUGUCACUACCCUUUCCUACGGCAAGGCCUGAGCAGUCUUCAGAGAGCUCUCCCCUAAACAGAGAUCGUAGAGCUGAAAAUGCCUUUUAGUCGCUGUCCUGUUCCACACAAAGGAUGUCUUCAUUUUAGGCGCUCUACAGGGAAUAUUUAUGCUGGAUUUCUACUUCUGCUUCACUUAUCCCAUCUGUGCUGUUUGCUCAUUAAUUUAAGGGAAGCCAGAAGCAUAAUUUUCAGUACCUUCUGCCCUUGCUAUCCUGGGCUCUCCAUUGCCCCAGGACAUGGUGUUGGCAACAGAAUGGAAACCACUACAAGGCCCUCAUCUUCCCCAGAAAUAUUUCAGCGAAGUGGCAAGAGCUGACAAUAUGUGUAUUUUUGUGCUCCCUCCCUUCACACCCCCACCCCCACUACUGCGUAUUUGCAGGGGUGCUGCUCCGCUCUGCCCGGUGCACUCGCCCUGCGCUGAGGGCAGCACCUGCUCCCUCAUCAGCUGCUCCACGGGGCUGCAGAGCUGCACUGGGCGGGCACCCCACCCCCCUCCCUUGCCCCGGGGACAGCCAGCCAAACAGGAGCAACUGAAAUAACAUGGGCUGCAGCUUUUUGUUUGGAGCACGUUUUUGUCUUUUGGUCAACAUGGUACAUGUGGCUGCUUAAAAAGUCUCACUGUUAGGGAUCAGCCUGUUUGACCCUUAUGUGAGCAGGACUGCUCUUCUGGCUGCUGUGACCCCUCCAGACACGCUCCAAUAGUGACAGCCACCACCAGCCAGGCUCACAGCGACUGAGAUCACCUUCCUGGUAUUCACACAGCCAUACAUACAGUUUGUUGCUUUUCAGACAUAUUAGGGCUACACAAAUCUGAUGAAAACACACACUUCUGCUAAGCAUCAUUGUACUAAAAAAUGCAUUGAGAGCUUUCCCUUCACAAAAAAAAAGCAGCCAAAUACCCCAGCUUUUAUCAAAGCCAAGUUUUUUGGGACCCCAGCUUUACUGUAUGCCAUGAAGGAUGUGUGCAAGAGUGUCAAACCCUGCAUUAUCACCCAUAUGGUUUUCUGACAAAAACGAGGAGCCGUGAAGCACCAGGUGCCCAGCUCUGCCACCAGCUGAAAGAGCAUCUGCUGCAAGAACAGCUCCUGCACAGCCCCCUUUGCAGAGUCAGUGCUGCUGCCCCGUACCCACCACAGCCGCUUUUCUUCCUCUCUUUAAGGACAGUGCGCAUAAAAGAUUUUUCUAUUAUUAGUCUGAAUUAUUCAUCUCUGCCAUCUCUGAAUUUCUAUCUUGCUCUUCCUUAGCUUUGAUGCCGUUUGGAUGCACUUUUUCCCAGUUGAAAGAACUACAAAGAGCAAAACACGAACCAGAGUCUUUACAUGCUUUUCUCGUUUUCAUUGUGCAUAUCCCGAGGUGUAAAAAGAAAAGCGGAAGUAUUUUCCUUGAAGAUGAUAACUGAAUUCUAUCAGAUUUAAGUGUACUGAAAGCAAAAAGAUUACUCAAGUUCUGCCCAGGACUCAUCUACAGGAGCACGUUAUUUCCCAUUAGGAAGGGUAUGUAUUUGAACAACUGCUGAACUCUGACGUUUAUUUUGUAACAAACAGUUUAAGCCGUUCAUUCAUUUUGAAGUGAUCCAAUAUAAUUCAUGCAAGUCUCUUGGACUUGCUGCGUGGGUGUUUUUAUUUGACAAGCGCUGUUGUAACAAAUACCUCUGCAUUUAUCAAUAAACCAAGGUCUUUGGCACCAGGUUUUUGUAAAUUUAAGUUUAGACAUGAACUUAGUGAGACUGUACUCAAAUAGCCUUAUUUUAUUCACCACGAGAUCACUGUUGUUAUUGAGACUAGCCUGGUGUCAAUUGCACCAUUUCGCCUCAUUUUCACACACUUCCUCAUGUCAAGAUGCUCUGAGCUUUGACAUCAUGAGUCAGAAUUUUUCUUCUAAAGCAGCUCUUCAGCAGUUGGCAGUCACUGAAGGAUUUCAUUUUGCACUACUGUAUUCCACAGAUGUAAACCAGUCACCUCUACAUCAGCAACCUCUACUUCCUCAGCAGAAGAAAAGCUAAAAUUCCAGUUGUGCCAUUUUCCCAAACACUGUCAUAUCCCCUCUCAGCCACACCGCUUUUCCUUAACUGACAGGAACAGAGCUGCUCCCUGUGCUCCCGUGAAAAGCCGACACACGCAGCCGGGGCCGGCGCUCCCUCGCCCGCCUUCCAUCACUCACAGCUCCGCUUGGCUCAGUUCCCAGGACCCCUCUCCACUCUCCUCCUGGCUCCCAAUUUUUCAUUCCUUGACAUUAGUAUUCCUUAAAAGAACAAUUAAUUUUAGACUAGAACUACUCAUUUGUGCCUUCUGGACCCUUUCCAAAUUUAACACUUCCACGGUACUUUGUCCUCUGUUUACAUCCAGUUCUCCAUCUCAGGUCUGCAGUCUGACACUGGUCCUUGUACAGCCCAUCACCUCCUUUCCCGCACUUCUGUGAGACACUGCAGUGGAAGCGAUUCCUUUUGCUCUGGUAGAGCAAUUCUCAAGAAGCCAGUAAUGAAAUAUCUUUAAUUAUAUACUGAGAUAUAAUAACACUUAAGAGCUUUAAGGCAAUUGAGCAGUUUAAAAGGAUUAUUUUACACUCUCAUUCUUCACCGUGUACUAGAAGAACACCCUUCCUCAUAGCUUAGAGGCAUAUUGCAUUUUCCUUACCAUUACUAUUAAAAACAACAAAAAAAAGCCAAUUGUUUAAAUAAUCAGAGUAUAUACAUUUUAAUGAGCCUGGUAAAACUGAGACAAAUGAAUUGUUUCUGAAUUUGUGAAUGAAUAGUGAUGUCCUCUUCUGGCAGUUGCAAAAAACCCUCAAUAUUAUUAUUUUUUUUAAAGCAUUUGUUUCUUAUUAAGAUUUAGAAUACUCAUUAUUCUGGUAACCGAGUUCCAAAUUGUGCAGCACAACACUCCUUUACACCUUGAAGCUACUUAUUUAAGCUAUUUUAUUUCAACUUCUAUAACAUUGUCAAAUCAAGGUUGCAGAAGACAGCAAAUAGCAGGUGCAGUUGUCUGCACACUCCAAAUUCUACUUCUUGUCCUGUUGAUCCCUUAAUGGGAUAAUGGGCCCCAUGGAAAACAAAACCCAAACCACCGUCACAGACGAUGUUAAACACAGGUUGUAAUGCAGCCUUUUUUUUUUUUGAUAUGUUUUUCCUGGGCAGCAUCCAGCCAUGUGUCUGAGCUGGCAUGGCCUGCACAGUGAGGCUCAUGUCAGAGAUCUGCAGUUUGACCUUUAAAAUGUUGUUAUGUCAUUGGUAAGGAUGGAACUUUUCAUAGAUAAAACUCAGUUAAACAGCUGUUAGAAAGAAAAUAUGAACUAGCAGAAAUAACACAUGAAAUAUCUAAAAAUAUUUGCCCAGCAGCUCCUGCAUCCAUCAGUGAUUUAGCAUCUGACCUAGGCUGUGCCAGCGUGGACAGAGGAACAGCAGCAAUUUCAGGGGAAUCCGAACCCACAAAAAACAGUGGAAGAUUAUAAUAAGCAACAUGAGGGACUGCCACUCUAAUAAAGCCCUCACAUUCUGAAAGAGUAUUAGAAGCGCAUACUUAUGAUCUAAAUGCAGUCACCUACAAGUUACAGUGAUUCUUUCAAAAAGCAAAGACCAGCCUUGAGGGAACUCCUGCUGCCACAGCACAGGCUCCAGCUGCUGGGAUGCUGCAAGGUCAGGAUCACUACAGGGCAGAACGUGGGUCUCAGGCCUUCACUGCUGUUAGAAAUGCACUGAGAACACAACCAGAACCUGUUGAGUACUACAGGCGCUGAUUCUGGCAUGGAAACCUCUGGGCUCUUCCAAUGUCUUAUCUGGUGUUUCAAUAGCAUUUUAAAAAUGUCAGCUCUUGACACCUUAUGUUAAAUGGCUGAGGAAUUGCUUUACAGAUUAUCUCUUCCUCCAUCUCUUGCUUUUCUAAAGUCCACAAUGUCUAAGACAUUCUCUAGCAGGGAGAGAAACUUGUAACAACAGUCCUGUGUUCUCUAACUUGAUGUACCUCAGAAGCGCUCCUCAAGACAUGGAAGGCCGCUGUACGGCUUUUGUAAUUUCUUAGUAAGGCAAGGAAUCAGUAAGGAAUAGGCAAGGAAACAUCAUGAAACAGGUGUGGUUUAUUUCUUUCCCACUUCUUUGGGAAAAGGUGGUUUCUGUAAACAGAAGUGAAUAACUAAAAUGGUUUGCACGCAAAGCAUGACUUAGUUCAACUGUCUCUAAAAGAAAGAGAUUGACUCCAAACUGUCAUUGCUACUUCUGCAUGCACUGGCUGAUCCUCCUUUUUCACACACCACAGCCAGCUCUGCCUCAUCAAGCUGUCAGAGAAAUCUGUUCAGAAGCUGCAAACCCUGCUUAAACCAGUACAAUUCCAAGGGGUAGGUCUCUCUUUAAACAAGGUUUUCAGUAGCAGCUGAGUGGGUAGAAAGAGAUUAAAAACAUUGCAAGAGGAGGAUAAAGACAAAGUUGUCUUAUAUCACACAAUACGGCUUCUCAGCCACCGAUAAGCAGCAGCACACAAGGGGACAUGAAAGCAUUAGGAAAAAUCCCCAGACAUGGUUUUAAAUGCAUAAGUUGUCACAGGAACAGAAACCCCCCUUCUCCCCAAGAGUGCAACCUCGCUUUGUGCAACCAUGCCAGUGAGGCAUAAGCACUUCUCUGAAAGCACUUUGUAAGAGUGUGGGAGGCUAUUCUGGGUAACUCAUGGAAUAGGUUUUCAAAUUUUAGUCAUAGACGACAUGAAUUACAGUAAGAAUCGGUAUUAGUGAAAAGACUACAAGGGUUUCUCCACUGGAAAAGAGUAAUUGUUGGACAAAAGGCUUCUUUUUCCCCCAAAAAAUGUGUACUUGCUAUUUAAACUAAGAACUCUUACAGAAAAACAAACACCACAUAUGAUAACAAGCAUUUAUCAUUUGACUUCUGAUGAGUAAUAAAAGCACAAUGUUCAAAAAUAAAUCCAAUAGUUUUUUUAACUUUGUAGAAACUGAUGUCAACAUGCAAACUAUCACCAGUAAAGUAUUAUUAACUUGUAACUGUUAGGAAUCACAAUAUGGCCAAUCCUCUACUACUUUGCU